ACAAUGGGAGGUGGUGACCAGAAGUACUGGGUGGUAAUCAUUGAUUACUAAUCCCGGAAUGAGCAUAAAGUAAAAAUUUGGUCGAGAAACAACUGGAGGGCAAGUCUGGUGCCAGCAGCCGCGGUAAUUCCAGCUCCAGUAGCAUGUCGUAAAGUUGUUGCGUUUAAAACGCUCGUAGUUGGAUCAUGUGGCGCCUUUAGUUAAAUCACACGACCGACGUUGAAUCCAACUUGAGGCGCGGGUUCGGGUUAACUCUCGGUCCGGCCUGGAGUCUGGAGUCUGGCGUGUGAAUUGUGUGCUAAACGGCGCUAAUUGCGCGUAAGAAUGGUGAUUGGCCUUUGGUGUGUCGGUCACCGUGUCUUACGGAGUGUGCCUUGAAUAAAUCAGAGUGCUCAAAGCAGGCUAGUGCCUGAAUGAUACAGCAUGGAACGAACAAACGUGAAGUAGUGUCUCGGUGGGGUGUCGUUUGGGCACAUUGCAUCGGGACACAUCACCAACCACCAUGUACGGAUGUUGGUUUCCGUAUUGGGGUGAUGAUUAAAACGAGCGGUUGGGGGCAUUGGUAUUUGGCCGCGAGAGGUGAAAUUCUUAGACCGGCCAAGGACUAACAAAAGCGAAGGCAUUUGCCAAGACCGUGUCGAUUAAUCAAGAACGAUAGAGAGAGGUUCGAAGACGAUCAGAUACCGUCCUAGUUCUCUCUGUAAACUAUGCCAACCCGAGAUCAGUCUAGAGUUAUUAGUCACGCUCUAGAUUGGUCCCCCUGGGAAACCUCAAGUGUUUGGGUUACGGGGGGAGUAUGGUCGCAAGGCUGAAACUUAAAGGAAUUGACGGAAGGGCACCACCAGGGGUGGAGCCUGCGGCUUAAUUUGACUCAACACGGGAAAACUCACCGGUUCCGGACGCUAAAAGGAUAGACAGACUGAUAGAUCUUUCUUGAUAUAACGUGUGGUGGUGC
This 955-nucleotide ribosomal RNA is filed under the name Myxobolus omari. RNAcentral describes it as "bacterial SSU rRNA". It matches the Rfam family "Eukaryotic small subunit ribosomal RNA", at positions 454 to 1283 of the family's 1831-position model. The record is from RNAcentral. Lineage: Eukaryota; Metazoa; Cnidaria; Myxozoa; Bivalvulida; Myxobolidae.